GGCGCCACUCAUGACGGAGGGGUCAGUGCCACAACAAACGGCACCAAAGUGGCAACGAGUUGGACCCGGCAACAAGAGGUACUAUGAGGAACCUGAGGAAUCUUGUUCGCCGAAAAGAACCGUUGUUCAGCAGCAGGCAAUCAAGGCAUGUUUCAUUCCACUGAAACGGCUGGUGUUCAGCACCGAGACCUUGGCUGCCGUGAAUGCUGUGUUUCCAUCCCGUCUUCCAAAUCCAAAGGAGACCCCGGUGGUUGCUUCCAAAUGCACCAAGGUACACGCACGUAAAUUUUCUGGCAAUGUCAGGGCCAUUUUUUCAUUUGUUCAUAUU
Molecule: long non-coding RNA, 328 nt
Organism: Pseudoliparis swirei
Lineage: Eukaryota; Metazoa; Chordata; Actinopteri; Perciformes; Liparidae
Exons: 3
Source: RefSeq, a predicted model, not a curated record